UAUGGGUAGAUGUUUAGAAAGGGCACCACUGGGUGUGUGGAUGGAGAACUUCUCCCUUGAGGGGGGAGCAACACUGAGCCUUUGCCCUGGUUGGAAAAGGCC
Nanorana parkeri is the source of this 102-nucleotide long non-coding RNA. RefSeq lists it as uncharacterized. The transcript has 5 exons. The record is from RefSeq and is a predicted model, not a curated record. Lineage: Eukaryota; Metazoa; Chordata; Amphibia; Anura; Dicroglossidae.